Molecule: long non-coding RNA, 546 nt
Organism: Ochotona curzoniae (black-lipped pika)
Lineage: Eukaryota; Metazoa; Chordata; Mammalia; Lagomorpha; Ochotonidae
Exons: 3
Source: RefSeq, a predicted model, not a curated record
UUUGACCAUCUAUUAUCUCAAUGCUACUGCCAAGGGCCAGAAGGCAGCAAACCUGGAUCUCAAAAAGAAGAUGAAAAUGCAAGCGCUGGAGAACAAGAUGCGGAACAAGAAGAUGGCGGCCGCCCGCGCAGCCGCAGCUGGUGGUGGCCAGUAACUCGCACAGAUAUCUGGAUGGUUUCUUUCUGUUGAAGAAACAACCCCUUGUUCUACCCCAGACGGAUUAUCAAGGUCAUGUUCUUGCAUAAAAGCAUCAUCAGUCCCACGUGGGCCAGGGGUCUCCACCUCUUCUCAAUUACAGAUCUGUUCCUGCGCCACUGCUUUUUGCCCUGCUCUGCCCCCCUGCUUUAAUGCAGUAAAUUGCUGGUGUGACCCAGCUAUGUAGGCUAGGAUGGGGGUUAAUUUUAAAAACAAUGCUUGUUUGCUAAAGCCCAUUUCUUCAGCCUUGUCUUGAGCUACGCGUGACUUUACCUUCCUGUUUUUCCGUCUAAGCUCAGAAAAUAAGGAACUCACCUACUUUUACGAGAGCAGAAACAUAUAUAUAUAUAU